GAAGGAGUAGGGAGAGGAAGAAGAGAGGAGGUGGAGGAGCGUGAAGGAGUAGGGAGAGGUAGAGAAAGAAGAAGAGAAGGAGUAGGGAGAGGUAGAGGAAGAAGAGAAGGAGUAAGGAGAGGUAGAGGAAGAAGAGGAAGAGAAGGAGUAGGGAGAGGUAGAGGAAGAAGAGGAAGAGAAGGAGUAGGGAGAGGAAGAAGAGAGGAGGAGGAGGAGGAGGGAGAGGAAGAAGAGAGGAGGUUGAGGAGUUGGGAGAGGAAGAAGAGAGGAGGAGGAGAAGGAGUAGGGAGAGGAAGAAGGGAGGAGGAGCGUGAAGGAGUAGGGAGAGGAAGAAGAGAGGAGGAGGAGGAGGGAGAGGAAGAAGAGAGGAGGUUGAGGAGUUGGGAGAGGAAGAAGAGAGGAGGAGUAGGGAGAGGAAGAGGAAGAAGAGGAGGAGAAGGAGUAGGGAGAGGAAGAAGAGAGGUGGUGGAGCGUGAAGGAGUAGGGAGAGGAAGAAGAGGAGAGGAAGGGAGGGAGGAGGAGGAGAGGGGAGGAGAAGGAGGAGGAGGGGGAGGGGAGAGAGGUGAAGGGGAGAGAGAGGGGCAGGGCAUGAAGGAAGAGAAGGGGGAGAAGCUGGAGGAAGAGGGGUGAAGGAGGAGCAAGAGGUGGAAGAGGAAGAGAUAGAGGAGAGAGGAGAGAAGGUGGGAGCAAAGGGGGAAAGAGCGGAAGAGAAGCGAGGAGAGAAGGGGGGAGCAAAGGGGGAA
Acanthochromis polyacanthus (spiny chromis) is the source of this 743-nucleotide long non-coding RNA. RefSeq lists it as uncharacterized. NCBI's taxonomy places the organism in Eukaryota, Metazoa, Chordata, Actinopteri, Pomacentridae. The record is from RefSeq and is a predicted model, not a curated record. The transcript is spliced from 3 exons.